RNAcentral lists this transfer RNA (71 nucleotides) under Roseovarius indicus. RNAcentral describes it as "Roseovarius sp. B108 tRNA". It matches the Rfam family "tRNA". Rfam says of the family: Transfer RNA (tRNA) molecules are approximately 80 nucleotides in length. Their secondary structure includes four short double-helical elements and three loops (D, anti-codon, and T loops). Further hydrogen bonds mediate the characteristic L-shaped molecular structure. tRNAs have two regions of fundamental functional importance: the anti-codon, which is responsible for specific mRNA codon recognition, and the 3' end, to which the tRNAs corresponding amino acid is attached (by aminoacyl-tRNA synthetases). tRNAs cope with the degeneracy of the genetic code in two manners: having more than one tRNA (with a specific anti-codon) for a particular amino acid; and 'wobble' base-pairing, i.e. permitting non-standard base-pairing at the 3rd anti-codon position. The record is from Rfam by way of RNAcentral. Lineage: Bacteria; Pseudomonadati; Pseudomonadota; Alphaproteobacteria; Rhodobacterales; Roseobacteraceae.
UGCCCCUUCGUCUAGCGGCAGGACGCCUGAUUUUGAGUCAGGAAACCGUGGUUCGAAUCCACGAGGGGCAA